Molecule: ribosomal RNA, 465 nt
Filed under: uncultured bacterium
Lineage: Bacteria
Description: partial 16S ribosomal RNA
Rfam family: Bacterial small subunit ribosomal RNA
Source: RNAcentral
GACGAACGCUGGCGGCGUGCUUAACACAUGCAAGUCGAACGGAAAGGCCCUGCUUGCAGGGUACUCGAGUGGCGAACGGGUGAGUAACACGUGGGUGAUCUGCCCUGCACUUCGGGAUAAGCCUGGGCAACUGGGUCUAAUACCGGAUAGGAGCCAUUUUUAGUGUGAUGGUUGGAAAGUUUUUUCGGUGUAGGAUGAGCUCGCGGCCUAUCAGCUUGUUGGUGGGGUAAUGGCCUACCAAGGCGGCGACGGGUAGCCGGCCUGAGAGGGUGGACGGCCACAUUGGGACUGAGAUACGGCCCAGACUCCUACGGGAGGCAGCAGUGGGGAAUAUUGCACAAGGGGCGCAAGCCUGAUGCAGCGACGCCGCGUGGGGGAUGACGGCCUUCGGGUUGUAAACUCCUUUCGCUAGGGACGAAGCUUUUUGUGACGGUACCUAGAUAAGAAGCACCGGCUAACUACGUG